AAGUCGUAACAAGGUUUCCGUAGGUGAACCUGCGGAAGGAUCAUUAUUGAAUAAACCUGAUGUGGCUGUUAGCUGGCUUUUCGAAGCAUGUGCUCGUCCAUCAUCUUUAUCUCCACCUGUGCACAUUUUGUAGUCUUGGAUACCUCUCGAGGCAACUCGGAUUUUAGGAUCGCUGUGCUGUACAAGUCGGCUUUCCUUUCAUUUCCAAGACUAUGUUUUUUAUAUACACCAAAGUAUGUUUAAAGAAUGUCAUCAAUGGGAUAUAAAAUUAUACAACUUUCAGCAAUGGAUCUCUUGGCUCUC
RNAcentral lists this unclassified non-coding RNA (303 nucleotides) under air metagenome. RNAcentral's name for it is "partial contains small subunit ribosomal RNA, internal transcribed spacer 1, and 5.8S ribosomal RNA". The stretch from base 1 to 46 matches the Rfam family "Eukaryotic small subunit ribosomal RNA", at positions 1786 to 1831 of the family's 1831-position model. The record is from RNAcentral.